Xylariales sp. No.14919 is the source of this 72-nucleotide non-coding RNA. The record is from the annotation of a GenBank genome assembly. Lineage: Eukaryota; Fungi; Ascomycota; Sordariomycetes; Xylariales.
GCCCGCUUGGCUAAGUGGUAUAGCGUGUCACUAGUAAUGACAAGAUCAGCGGUUCGAUUCCGCUAGUGGGCA